CGUUGGGAGCUCUCCCNUAUGGUCGACCUGCAGGCGGCCGCGAAUUCACUAGUGAUUAGAGUUUGAUCCUGGCUCAGAUUGAACGCUGGCGGCGUGCUUAACACAUGCAAGUCGAACGUGAAAGUCCUUCGGGGCGAGUAAAGUGGCGCACGGGUGAGUAACGCGUGGAUAAUCUACCCUUAAGAUGGGGAUAACGGCUGGAAACGGUCGCUAAUACCGAAUACGCUCCCGAUUUUAUCGUUGGGGGGAAAGAUGGCCUCUGCUUGCAAGCUAUCGCUUAAGGAUGAGUCCGCGUCCCAUUAGCUAGUUGGCGGGGUAACGGCCCACCAAGGCAACGAUGGGUAGCCGGUCUGAGAGGAUGACCGGCCACACUGGAACUGGAACACGGUCCAGACUCCUACGGGAGGCAGCAGUGGGGAAUAUUGCGCAAUGGGCGAAAGCCUGACGCAGCGACGCCGCGUGAGGGAUGAAGGUUCUCGGAUCGUAAACCUCUGUCAGGGGGGAAGAAACCCCCUCGUGUGAAUAAUGCGAGGGCUUGACGGUACCCCCAAAGGAAGCACCGGCUAACUCCGUGCCAGCAGCCGCGGUAAUACGGAGGGUGCAAGCGUUAAUCGGAAUCACUGGGCGUAAAGCGCACGUAGGCGGCUUGGUAAGUCAGGGGUGAAAUCCCACAGCCCAACUGUGGAACUGCCUUUGAUACUGCCAGGCUUGAGUACCGGAGAGGGUGGCGGAAUUCCAGGUGUAGGAGUGAAAUCCGUAGAUAUCUGGAGGAACACCGGUGGCGAAGGCGGCCACCUGGACGGUAACUGACGCUGAGGUGCGAAAGCGUGGGUAGCAAACAGGAUUAGAUACCCUGNUAGUCCACGCUGUAAACGAUGGGUGCUGGGUGCUGGGAUGUAUGUCUCGGUGCCGUAGCUAACGCGAUAAGCACCCCGCCUGGGGAGUACGGUCGCAAGGCUGAAACUCAAAGAANUGACGGGGGCCCGCACAAGCGGNGGA
This 999-nucleotide ribosomal RNA is filed under the name uncultured Bilophila sp. Its description in RNAcentral is "bacterial SSU rRNA". It matches the Rfam family "Bacterial small subunit ribosomal RNA", at positions 1 to 936 of the family's 1533-position model. Lineage: Bacteria; Pseudomonadati; Thermodesulfobacteriota; Desulfovibrionia; Desulfovibrionales; Desulfovibrionaceae. The record is from RNAcentral.